GUGGGGAAUAUUGGACAAUGGGCGCAAGCCUGAUCCAGCAAUGCCGCGUGAGUGAUGAAGGCCUUAGGGUUGUAAAGCUCUUUCACCGGGGAAGAUAAUGACGGUACCCGGAGAAGAAGCCCCGGCUAACUCCGUGCCAGCAGCCGCGGUAAUACGGAGGGGGCUAGCGUUGUUCGGAAUUACUGGGCGUAAAGCGCGCGUAGGCGGCUUGACAAGGUGGAGGUGAAAGCCCGGAGCUCAACGUCGGAAUUGCCUUCAAGACUGUCUCGCACGAGGCAGGGAGAGGAGAGCGGAAUACCCAGUGUAGAGGUGAAAUUCGUAGAUAUUGGGUGGAACACCGGUGGCGAAGGCGGCUCUCUGGCCCUGAUCUGACGCUAAGGCGCGAAAGCGUGGGGAGCAAACAGGAUUAGAAACCCUGGUAGUCC
This 425-nucleotide ribosomal RNA is filed under the name uncultured bacterium. RNAcentral describes it as "bacterial SSU rRNA". It matches the Rfam family "Bacterial small subunit ribosomal RNA", at positions 354 to 796 of the family's 1533-position model. The record is from RNAcentral.